RNAcentral lists this ribosomal RNA (301 nucleotides) under uncultured bacterium. RNAcentral's name for it is "partial 16S ribosomal RNA". It matches the Rfam family "Bacterial small subunit ribosomal RNA", at positions 509 to 807 of the family's 1533-position model. The record is from RNAcentral.
CAGUAGCCGCGGUAAUACGUAGGGUGCAAGCGUUAAUCGGAAUUACUGGGCGUAAAGCGUGCGCAGGCGGUUCGCUAAGACAGACGUGACAUCCCCGGGCUUAACCUGGGAACUGCAUUUGUGACUGGCAAGCUAGAGUGUGGCAGAGGGGGGUGGAAUUCCGCGUGUAGCAGUGAAAUGCGUAGAUAUGCGGAGGAACACCGAUGGCGAAGGCAGCCCCCUGGGCCAACACUGACGCUCAUGCACGAAAGCGUGAGGAGCAAACAGGAUUAGAUACCCCUGUAGUCCCUGUCUCUUAUAC